This is a long non-coding RNA of Cebus imitator (Panamanian white-faced capuchin), 166 nucleotides long. RefSeq lists it as uncharacterized. The transcript has 3 exons. NCBI's taxonomy places the organism in Eukaryota, Metazoa, Chordata, Mammalia, Primates, Cebidae. The record is from RefSeq and is a predicted model, not a curated record.
UUCCUGACAUUGCCAUGGCAUUUGUAAAUUGUCAUGGCUUUAGUGCAGCAGUGAGGAUUGCCAGAUGUCACUCUUGUGGCCAUCUUGGUUUUUGGUGGGCUAGAGCAGCUUCUUUACUGCAACCUGUUUUAUCAGCAAGGUCUUUAUUACCUGUAUCUUCUGCUGA